Molecule: ribosomal RNA, 429 nt
Filed under: uncultured archaeon
Lineage: Archaea
Description: bacterial SSU rRNA
Rfam family: Archaeal small subunit ribosomal RNA
Source: RNAcentral
UACCUGCAGCUCGAGUGGUAACCGCUAUUAUUGGGCCUAAAGCGUCCGUAGCCGGUUUGGUAAAUAUCUGGGUAAAUCGUGAGGCUUAACUCCACGAAUUUCGGAUAGACUGCCAGACUUGGGAUCGGGGGAGGUCAGAGGUACUCCAGGGGUAGCGGUGAAAUGUUGUAAUCCUUGGAGGACCACCGGUAGCGAAGGCGUCUGACUAGAACGAGUCCGACGGUGAGGGACGAAGCCCUGGGGCGCAAACCGGAUUAGAUACCCGGGUAGUCCAGGGUGUAAACGAUGUGGGCUUUGUAUUGGAGGUCCCACGUGGGCGUCCAGUGCAGAAGAGAAGUUGUUAAGCCCACCGCCUGGGAAGUACGGUCGCAAGGCUGAAACUUAAAGGAAUUGGCGGGGGAGCACAGCAACGGGAGGAGCGUGCGGUUU